This is an RNA transcript of Mirounga angustirostris (Northern elephant seal), 701 nucleotides long. It is a transcript of the gene named ring-box 1, with no coding region annotated. Lineage: Eukaryota; Metazoa; Chordata; Mammalia; Carnivora; Phocidae. The record is from RefSeq and is a predicted model, not a curated record. The transcript is spliced from 5 exons.
GGAGGUGCCGGGGCGGGAGGGGAGCGAGGCGUGCGCUGGUGCGCAGGCGCAGUGGCCGGACGACGGACCUUGUGUUUCCAAAAUGGCGGCAGCGAUGGAUGUGGAUACCCCGAGCGGCACCAACAGCGGCGCGGGCAAGAAGCGCUUUGAAGUGAAAAAGUGGAAUGCAGUAGCCCUCUGGGCCUGGGAUAUUGUGGUUGAUAACUGUGCCAUCUGCAGGAACCACAUUAUGGAUCUUUGCAUAGAAUGUCAAGCUAACCAGGCGUCUGCUACUUCUGAAGAGUGCACUGUUGCAUGGGGAGUCUGUAACGUAAGGAAACAUCUUUCCCUAUCAGCAUGGCUUGUAAACAUAUUACCACUUUUCCUGCUUUGCCAGUCUUGAAAAUAACUAGGAAAAAAAAUGCCUAGCCCACCUUUCUCCCAAAAGCAUGCUUUUCACUUCCACUGCAUCUCUCGCUGGCUCAAAACACGGCAGGUGUGUCCGUUGGACAACAGAGAGUGGGAAUUCCAAAAGUAUGGGCACUAGAAAGAGAAUUCUUCCAUCGAGCUCAACUGUUCUGUUAUUCAUUUAAUGACUUGCCCUCCUGUUACUUAAUUAUAAAUUAGAUAGAACUGUGUCUUUUCUGCUUUGUCUUUUCAGUUUGCUGUUCCUGCAGCCGUAUUGUAUUCUGUGUCAAAUAAAAUCCAGUUGGAUUCUAGAA